RNAcentral lists this ribosomal RNA (467 nucleotides) under uncultured bacterium. RNAcentral's name for it is "partial 16S ribosomal RNA". It matches the Rfam family "Bacterial small subunit ribosomal RNA", at positions 29 to 507 of the family's 1533-position model. The record is from RNAcentral.
ACGAACGCUGGCGGCGUGCUUAACACAUGCAAGUCGAACGGAAAGGCCCUGCUUUUGUGGGGUGCUCGAGUGGCGAACGGGUGAGUAACACGUGAGUAACCUGCCCUUGACUUUGGGAUAACUUCAGGAAACUGGGGCUAAUACCGGAUAGGAGCUCCUGCUGCCUGGUGGGGGUUGGAAAGUUUCGGCGGUUGGGGAUGGACUCGCGGCUUAUCAGCUUGUUGGUGGGGUAGUGGCUUACCAAGGCUUUGACGGGUAGCCGGCCUGAGAGGGUGACCGGCCACAUUGGGACUGAGAUACGGCCCAGACUCCUACGGGAGGCAGCAGUGGGGAAUAUUGCACAAUGGGCGGAAGCCUGAUGCAGCAACGCCGCGUGCGGGAUGACGGCCUUCGAGUUGUAAACCGCUUUCGCCUGUGACGAAGCGUGAGUGACGGUAAUGGGUAAAGAAGCACCGGCUAACUACGUG